This 510-nucleotide ribosomal RNA is filed under the name uncultured bacterium. Its description in RNAcentral is "partial 16S ribosomal RNA". It matches the Rfam family "Bacterial small subunit ribosomal RNA", at positions 28 to 507 of the family's 1533-position model. The record is from RNAcentral.
GACGAACGCUGGCGGCGUGCUUAACACAUGCAAGUCGAACGAAGAGCGAUGGAAGCUUGCUUCUAUCCGUCUUAGUGGCGAACGGGUGUGUAACGCGUAAUCAACCUGCCCUUGAGUGGGGGACACCAGUUGGACACGAGUGCUAAUACCGCAUACGAUCUAAUCUCGGCAUCGAGGAUAGAUGCACGGUGGCCUCUACAUGUAUGCUAACACUGCAGGAGGGUAUUGCGGCUGAUUAGCUAGUGGGAUGGGUAACGGCCCACCAAGGCGAUGAGCAGUAGCCGGUCUGGGAGGAUGAACGGCCACAUUGGGACUUGGACACGGCUCAGACUCCUACGGGAGGCAGCAGUGGGGAAUCUUCCGCAAUGGACGGAAGUCUGACGGAGCAACGCCGCGUGAGUGAUGACGGCCUUCGGGUUGUAAAGCUCCGUUAAUCGGGACGAAAGGCCUGCUUGCGAAUAGGGAGAAGGAUUGACGGUACCGGAAUAGAAAGCCACGGCUAACUACGUG